This 253-nucleotide ribosomal RNA is filed under the name uncultured bacterium. RNAcentral describes it as "partial 16S ribosomal RNA". It matches the Rfam family "Bacterial small subunit ribosomal RNA", at positions 524 to 776 of the family's 1533-position model. The record is from RNAcentral.
UACGAAGGGGGCGAGCGUUGUUCGGAAUUACUGGGCGUAAAGGGCGCGCAGGCGGCCUUAGAAGUCAGAUGUGAAAGCCCCGGGCUCAACCUGGGAAUGGCAUUUGAUACUCUGAGGCUGGAGUACGGGAGAGGAGAGUGGAAUUCCCAGUGUAGAGGUGAAAUUCGUAGAUAUUGGGAAGAACACCAGUGGCGAAGGCGGCUCACUGGACCGGCAUUGACGCUGAUGUGCGAAAGCGUGGGGAGCAAACAGG